GAUGAACGCUGGCGGCGUGCCUAACACAUGCAAGUCGAACGAAGCACCUUACCUGAUUCUUCGGAUGAAAGUUUGGUGACUGAGUGGCGGACGGGUGAGUAACGCGUGGGUAACCUGCCCUGUACAGGGGGAUAACAGCUGGAAACGGCUGCUAAUACCGCAUAAGCGCACGAGGAGACAUCUCCUUGUGUGAAAAACUCCGGUGGUACAGGAUGGGCCCGCGUUUGAUUAGCUGGUUGGCAGGGUAACGGCCUACCAAGGCAACGAUCAGUAGCCGGUCUGAGAGGAUGAACGGCCACAUUGGAACUGAGACACGGUCCAAACUCCUACGGGAGGCAGCAGUGGGGAAUAUUGCACAAUGGGGGAAACCCUGAUGCAGCAACGCCGCGUGAGUGAAGAAGUAUUUCGGUAUGUAAAGCUCUAUCAGCAGGGAAGAUAAUGACGGUACCUGACGAAGAAGCACCGGCUAAAUACGUG
RNAcentral lists this ribosomal RNA (477 nucleotides) under uncultured bacterium. Its description in RNAcentral is "partial 16S ribosomal RNA". It matches the Rfam family "Bacterial small subunit ribosomal RNA", at positions 28 to 507 of the family's 1533-position model. The record is from RNAcentral.